CUUCAGCUCAUGAUGCUUUGAUUUCCUGUCUCUUCCCUCCUUUUCCCGGGUUUCACAUUCGGUUUCCCUGUCUCAGCCCUCCAAUGAACUGAUCCAUCUCCUCUCAAUUUCAAUAAUCAUGAAUCUGGUCACUUUUGCUUUACCACCAUCACUUCAUUCUCUUUCAAAAACUUCAAUCCAUUUCUUUGCCUGAUCCAGUGACCCUAAAGCUCUACCAAUUUACAAUCUUCUCAAACCCUCCCAAGUUUCUGGGUUUUUACGACUAAUUCUAUAGAAAAACCAAAACCCGUUUUAGCAAAAUGAAGACUUGGUUGAUUCUUGCAGAUGAUAGAUAGAGAUUCUUUAUUUAUUUCAGUAGCUGAGACACUAUGACUUCGGGGACGAGGCUACCAACAUGGAAGGAAAGAGAGAACAACAAAAGGAGAGAAAGGAGAAGGAGGGCAAUAGCAGCAAAGAUCUUCGCAGGAUUAAGGAUGUAUGGUAACUACAAGCUUCCUAAGCACUGUGACAACAACGA
This 517-nucleotide unclassified non-coding RNA is filed under the name Hevea brasiliensis (rubber tree). The record is from RNAcentral. Lineage: Eukaryota; Viridiplantae; Streptophyta; Magnoliopsida; Malpighiales; Euphorbiaceae.